CACUAGGAGCCUCGGGUUCGCGCAGGCCCCGCGCAGGCCCCGCCCCUGCCCCGCUCCGUGCUGCCCUCUCCCCGCCUGGGUAGUCGUUGCUCCCAAGUACUCGCAGCUGGUGCUUCCGCCCAGACGCGGUUCUGCACGCCGAGGCGACCCCCGUUUUACCGGUCCGGCGCCAGGAUGGCCCCCAAACUUCGAGACUCUGUGGAGGAACUCCGCGCCGCCGGCAACCUGAGCUUCCGCAACGGCCAGUUCGCCGAGGCCGCCACACUCUACAGCCGCGCGCUACGGAUGCUGCAGGCGCAAGGUUCUUCAGACCCAGAAAAAGAAAGUGUUCUCUACUCCAACCGAGCAGCAUGCCACUUGAAGGACGGGAACUGCAUAGACUGCAUCAAGGACUGCACUUCAGCGCUGGCCUUGGUUCCCUUUGGCAUGAAGCCCCUGCUGCGGCGAGCGUCAGCCUACGAGGCUCUGGAGAAGUACACCCUGGCCUACAUGGACUACCUGACCGUGCUGCAGAUUGAUGACAGUGUGACGUCAGCCUUGGAAGGCAGCAGCAGAAUGACCAGAGCUCUUAUGGACUCCUUUGGGCCCGACUGGCGCCAGAAGCUGCCCUCUGUCCCCUUGGUGCCUGUUUCAGCGCAGAAGAGGUGGGAGUGUUUGCCUUCGGAAAACUGCAAAGAGACGGCUAAAAGCAAAUCCAAAGAAACCACAGCUACGAAGAACAGAGUGCCUUCUGCUGGGGAUGUGGAGAGAGCCAGAGUUCUGAAGGAGGAAGGCAAUGAGCUUGUAAAGAAGGGGAACCAUAAGCAAGCGAUUGAGAAGUACAAUGAGAGCCUCUGGUUUAGUAACUUGGAAUCCGCCACGUACAGCAACAGCCUUGUCGCAUAUGCUGGCUUGAGUGUCCUCACAGCGUGGUGGCCUCAGGGUAGCUGGCUUCUCGCAUGGCAGCUGAAGGCUCCAAGAGCAAGUGUCCCCAGAGAACAGGCUGACGCUGCAAGACCUCUGUAGCCCACCACUGGGACUCAUAACGUUCCUCUGUACUCUGUUGGUCAGGACAGUCACAGAACCUGCCUACAUUCAAGAGGAAAGAACAUAGGACCUCUUCAAUGGGAAGAAUGCCACAGAAUUUGUGCCUGCAUUUAAAUUGUUACAAGGAGAAGCUUUUUCUAAGUUGAUUUAUAAGUUCCAUGCAAUCUCAGUGAAAAUACUAGAAUUUUUUUACAUUCUUGGUAAUAAUUCCAUAAUUUGUCAGGAAAAGAAUAACAGCAUAAGAGAAUUUAGAUAUGAUAAAGUAUGGGAAAAAGGAAUUAUCCAAUAAAUGGUGUUGGGUUGGCUGGAGAGAGUUCAAAAGAAACCCUAAUCCCUACCCUCACUCCUUAUUUUAAAAUAAAUUCUAAGUGGAUCACAGUUUCAAAUGUAAAAAGUAAAACCAUUAAGUUCUAGAACAAUGUGUGGGUUAAUUAUCUUGCAGUGGGGAAGGUAUUUGGUGGUAGUGGAAGGGGACCCACAGAAGUCAUGAAAGAAGCUGGAUAAAUUUUAUUUCAUAAGAUUUAAAAAUCUUACGUAAAGACACUCAGCUUUACCUAUAUUUAAAGCAACUGCAUUAAAACAGAUGCUGUUUUCUUCUAUAUUGGCAGAAGUUAAAGGUUGAGACCCAGGGUUGGUACAGUUGCAGGAAAAUAGUCUCUGUUAGUAACUGUUCUUAAGUACACUUGACCCUUGAACAAGGCGGCUGUUGGGAGCACUGACCCUCCUUGCAGUCAAAAAAUCUCAGCAUAAUUUACAGUCGUCCUCUCGUAUCUGCGGUUCUGCUGCAUCUGUGGAGUCCACCAAAUGCAGAUGGUGUAAUACUCUAGAAUUUGUUAUUGAAAAAAAUCUGCAUGUAAGUGGACCCGCGCAGUUCAAACCCGUGUUCCUCAAGGGUCAGCUGGUUUUUGGAGAGCAUUUUGGUAAUAAUCAAAAAUUUAAAUGUAUGUACCUUUUGAUGCAGCAGUCCCUCCUAAUAGGCAUCUAAGAUUUAUGCGCAAGGAUGUUCAUGGUAGCAUCGUUUAUUUAUAAACUGGAAACAGUGAAAAAUAUCUACUGAUAAGGAAUUAAUAAAUUAUGGUACAUACAAGUGAAUACUAUGUACCCAUUAAAAAGUGAGGUGGAAUGGAUAUCUGUUUUUAGUGAUUAUCGUUGGGGGAAAGGACUAAAAAUGAAUGAGAAAGAUACAAAUACAUACUUUUCCCCCGUUGAUGCAGAAUGUGAAAAUUUUCAAAAUGUAAGUUGAAUGAAUUAUGUAUUGCACACCCAUACACUUCCCAAUUAAAUUCAUAAACAUUGUUAUAAAAUCAAAUACGCUUCAGUUAAAAAGAACAUUGUUAUAUUCGCUUUGUCACUAUAGCCAUCUAUUGAUCCAUCUUAUCAUCUUUGACGUAUAAGUUGUAGACAUCUUUACAUUUCACCCCUAACAUGUCAGCAUGCCUGGUAUUUAUUUAGAGCCUGGUAUUUGUUUUUUUCUUAAGGUAGAUAAUUUUUCUCAAGGGGAGCGUUUCGGGAAGCCUUUUUUCGCUUGAAAGAGUACAGUGUGGGAGCGUGAGGCGGACAGAACAAUAGCACCGAACACAGUCAGGAUCCCGAGUCGUUCGAGCCUGGGCUGAGUCCCAGGUCUGCCCCUCGGUAGUGGUGGAAGCUUGACGCGUCCCCUCUGCAGAAGGGGGCUGGGUGGCUGUGAGGACUGCGGGAGGGAGGAAGCACCCAGCACGGUGGGUGUGUUCGGGGAGCCGCAGGGCGCUACUCAGACUGCUGCGUGGCCCGCU
Balaenoptera acutorostrata (minke whale) is the source of this 2798-nucleotide RNA transcript. It is a transcript of the gene named translocase of outer mitochondrial membrane 34, with no coding region annotated. Lineage: Eukaryota; Metazoa; Chordata; Mammalia; Artiodactyla; Balaenopteridae. The transcript is spliced from 7 exons. The record is from RefSeq and is a predicted model, not a curated record.